Molecule: small nuclear RNA, 107 nt
Organism: Cynocephalus volans (Philippine flying lemur)
Lineage: Eukaryota; Metazoa; Chordata; Mammalia; Dermoptera; Cynocephalidae
Source: RefSeq, a predicted model, not a curated record
GUGUGCUCGCUUUGGCCCCACAUAUACUAAAAUUGGAACAAUACAGAGAAGAUUAACAUGGCCCCUGCACAAGGAUGACGCAAAUUCAUGAAGUGUUCCAAGAAAUU